This 492-nucleotide ribosomal RNA is filed under the name uncultured bacterium. Its description in RNAcentral is "partial 16S ribosomal RNA". It matches the Rfam family "Bacterial small subunit ribosomal RNA", at positions 29 to 507 of the family's 1533-position model. The record is from RNAcentral.
AGUGAACGCUGGCGGUAGGCCUAACACAUGCAAGUCGAACGGCAGCACAGUAAGAGCUUGCUCUUACGGGUGGCGAGUGGCGGACGGGUGAGGAAUACAUCGGAAUCUACUUUUUCGUGGGGGAUAACGUAGGGAAACUUACGCUAAUACCGCAUACGACCUACGGGUGAAAGCAGGGGAUCUUCGGACCUUGCGCGAUUGAAUGAGCCGAUGUCGGAUUAGCUGGUUGGCGGGGUAAAGGCCCACCAAGGCGACGAUCCGUAGCUGGUCUGAGAGGAUGAUCAGCCACACUGGAACUGAGACACGGUCCAGACUCCUACGGGAGGCAGCAGUGGGGAAUAUUGGACAAUGGGCGCAAGCCUGAUCCAGCCAUACCGCGUGGGUGAAGAAGGCCUUCGGGUUGUAAAGCCCUUUUGCUGGGAAAGAAAAGCAGCAGGUUAAUACCCCGCUGUUCUGACGGUACCCAAAGAAUAAGCACCGGCUAACUUCGUG